GGGCGGUUAGCUCAGUUGGUUAGAGUACUUGCUUGACAUGCAAGGGGUCACUGGUUCAAAUCCAGUACCGCCCACAA
This 77-nucleotide transfer RNA is filed under the name Calditrichota bacterium. RNAcentral describes it as "Calditrichaeota bacterium tRNA-Val". It matches the Rfam family "tRNA". From Rfam's summary of the family: Transfer RNA (tRNA) molecules are approximately 80 nucleotides in length. Their secondary structure includes four short double-helical elements and three loops (D, anti-codon, and T loops). Lineage: Bacteria; Pseudomonadati; Calditrichota. The record is from RNAcentral.